Molecule: long non-coding RNA, 1202 nt
Organism: Paramisgurnus dabryanus
Lineage: Eukaryota; Metazoa; Chordata; Actinopteri; Cypriniformes; Cobitidae
Source: RefSeq, a predicted model, not a curated record
AUUUCACGACAGCAGAGGUCAGUGUUGGUGAAGUAAAAAUUGAUUUCGACACAAAAAAGGACAAAGACGCUAAAACUAGUUUCCACAUCUCCAGCUGUGAAACUACAAGACGAAAAACUCACUUAUCUAAAUCAAGCGUGUUUUCAGAGUACUGUCUGUGCGUGUGGUGUUUCAUGACCGACGACUUCAGUAGCCUACACAGAGCACCAACAGCUGGAGGGAUGGAGAUGGAACCGACCAGGAGACAGAAUCUUGGAUUUAGGCGAGUCUUCUCUAUUUGAAAGUCUUAGGACUUUUAUCAUUAUAAAAUUAUCAAAAUAUGUACACUAUAAUACAAGUGUACAUUAAGAAAUUCCCAAAAUGUUUUACUAUGUCCAUAUGUCCCUCUGUCAGUUGGGAUCGUGGAUCCUCAAGCACAUCCAUUGCAGCUUAAUACCAUACAGUUCCUCAGGGAUCCUGACCAGAAUGCCUCUGUGUUUAUCCGGGUAUAUUUUUUAUAAAUUCAAUCGCUUUUAUGCUGAAUUUAUUAUCACAAGCAGUAACUUCUCUGUCUCUUCAUAUGGAGGUUAACUGCAUUAGCAUCGAAUUUACUCCUAGAAAACAUGGUGGAGAGAAGGGAGUCCCCUUUCGCAUUCAGAUAGACACCUUUGCAGCCAGCGAGCAGGGGGAAUAUGUUAAAUAUAUGCUCUCCGCCAGCUGCCAGGUCAACGUAUUUAAGGUAGAGCUGUCAGAAAGAUAACUUUUGAAUCUAAACUGUGUGAAUUGUGAUGGCUUUAGACUUUAAAAUAUGUAUAAAAAAAUUUGUAUAGACGCAUUUCUUCUUGUUGCACUAUUUUAUGUUUUGUCAUUUAGAAGACAUUUUGAUAAAUGAUGAUGAGCACACAGUUGACAGGAUCCAUUGACUUUUAUAGUAUUUGUUUAUCCUGCUAUGGAAGUUAGUGUUGAUUGUGUUCCUAUUAUCCUUUAUUUAAAUAUCUUCUUUUGUGUUUAACAGAAUAAAAAAACUCAUACAGUUUUUAAACGAUGCAAGUAAAUGAUGACAGAGUUUAUUUUUGGGUGAACAAUCCCUUUAGUGAUUGCUGUGGACAUUUGUAUUAAAUCCUUAGCUUCUAUGUUUGUGAAGUUUGUAUUUUUCUGUUGUAACUUUUUUUUUUAUAAAAAUAUUUUUUCAAAUAGCUUUUUUCAAAUGUAUACUACUAACA